UGAGGAACUCCCACUUGGCCUGUUUCCCCUUAAGGGCCAUGCGAGCUGAUUGGCCGCUGGUCACGGUGGUCCCCUGAUGAAGCCGAUCAGCAGCCCACUUUGAUGUCACCCGCAAAGGUCGGCCCGAGUGAAGUCGAGAGCGCUCGCUGAUCAAUGAAACACGACGCCUGCUUUGAGCCAACGUCAUCGGUGGCAGGCUCGGGAGAAAUCUGACCUUUUGCCUCACGCGCCCCAAGUUCAUGAGUAUUAAAGGCAUCCAAAGUGAAAGACGCCUGGAUGAGUCUGGAAGUGGCUUCAUCUCCGCUUCUUCCUCUGAGCCCCUCGUGGUGCUCGUAUCAGGUGGAACGCUCGCUGCAGGACUUCCAGCGUCGCUCGAGUCCCCCGAUGGAGCAUAGGCUUCGGCGACAUCUUGCAGCAAUCAGCCGAAUCGGCGAAAGGUCGCGGCGGAGGGCCGAGCGGCGGGAGGUUGCGAAAACAGGCGGCGAGACUAUUAAGGGAAAGGCGAGCUGCAUUCAUCAGUGCUGGCAAUAAUUCCUUCUCAAGAGUUUUGAUCAGGCUUCGUUUGUGGCCAAGAGAUGUUUACAAACACUGUCAGGGGCCCCGGCACGCCACCCUGGGGUGCUCCGUUGCACUCGCCCCACCAUCUUUGUCGGUGUCCGCACUAUUCAUUUGGUAUAUUUUUUGAUUUUUGCGACAACAAAAUAGGUUUAGGCCAAUGAAUUAGGAAAAUGAUGCCAUGUGGAGACAUUUUAAUUUUCAACAGUGUGGACAGGAGAGUCUUUUUAAAAAAGUGAUUUAAUGAUAUAUUACUAUUGUGUGCAUUGUUGUCCCCAUUAAUAUUAUCGUUAGCUGUGUUUGAUCACUAAACUUGUUUCAAAAUGUGCUCUACUACUCUAAGCUUGAAAUGAUUUCCAAGUACGACUUUCUUCUUGCCUUUGAUUGGCUAAAAUUGAUAGUUUUGUUCGUCACAAGACAACCUGCUCUUUUGUUUUUUUGCUUGUGUUCGAGUUUGAAUUCCGUUGGUAAGGAAGGAUUACCAAGUUUUGUAUAAUGAAAUGAAACUUUUGGAUUUAUCUUAGAUUUUUUAUUUUUCAUGUUUGCAAUGCUGUGUGGACACGGCAUUGUUUUUCUCGCUCAGGAUUUAAUUAAUUUAUUUACGCUCAUUCUGUCAUCUGUGCCUCUGCGUGGCUAAGUCACUUUAACGCAAAAAUGAAACACAAAAAGCUCCUCUUGUAAAAACGCUCAAACAAUGAACUAGUUCAAGUGGUUGGAAAGCAACAAAUUUGCCACAGCAAUGUAGGAACACAAUUGUUUUUAAACUGGCUUGAUCAGGGUUUUUUUUUAUAACACCGCAAAUUUUAUUCAGAAAUAGUUUUAUCUGUCCCUAAAUGUAUUUUCAACAAGGAGUUCAAAAAAGGUUUUUGAGAUAUUUUUCUUAUUUCUUCAAGUUUGU
This is a long non-coding RNA of Syngnathus typhle (broad-nosed pipefish), 1453 nucleotides long. RefSeq lists it as uncharacterized. The transcript has 3 exons. NCBI's taxonomy places the organism in Eukaryota, Metazoa, Chordata, Actinopteri, Syngnathiformes, Syngnathidae. The record is from RefSeq and is a predicted model, not a curated record.